UGAGUAACACGUGAGUGACCUGCCUUUUAGACUGGAACAACUUAACCGAAAGGUGAGCUAAUGCCGGAUGAGUUAUAUAAGUGCAUGUUUAUAUAGGAAAAGUUGGGGAGACCUGACGCUGAAAGAUGGACUCGCGUCCCAUUAGCUAGUUGGUAGGGUAAUGGCCUACCAAGGCGACGAUGGGUAGCCGGCCUGAGAGGGUGGCCGGCCACACUGGGACUGAGACACGGCCCAGACUCCUACGGAAGGCAGCAG
Molecule: ribosomal RNA, 255 nt
Filed under: uncultured bacterium
Lineage: Bacteria
Description: partial 16S ribosomal RNA
Rfam family: Bacterial small subunit ribosomal RNA
Source: RNAcentral